GACGUACGCUGGCGGCGUGCUUAACACAUGCAAGUCGAACGGAAAGGCCUGCUUUCCCUUGUGGAUUGCGGGUACUCGAGUGGCGAACGGGUGAGUAACACGUGAGUGAUCUGCCCCCAACUUGGGUAUAAGCCUGGGAAACUGGGUCUAAUUCCCGAUAGGACUGCAGGGUGGUGCCUGUGGUGGAAAACGAUUUUCUAGUGGUUGGGGAUGAGCUCGCGGCCUAUCAGCUUGUUGGUGGGGUAAUGGCCUACCAAGGCGGCGACGGGUAGCCGGCCUGAGAGGGUGGACGGCCACAUUGGGACUGAGAUACGGCCCAGACUCCUACGGGAGGCAGCAGUGGGGAAUAUUGCACAAUGGGCGGAAGCCUGAUGCAGCGACGCCGCGUGGGGGAUGACGGCCUUCGGGUUGUAAACUCCUUUCGACCGCGAGGAAGCCACCUGGUUGGAAGGGUGGUGACGGUAGUGGUAGAAGAAGCACCGGCUAACUGCGUG
This 494-nucleotide ribosomal RNA is filed under the name uncultured bacterium. RNAcentral describes it as "partial 16S ribosomal RNA". It matches the Rfam family "Bacterial small subunit ribosomal RNA", at positions 28 to 507 of the family's 1533-position model. The record is from RNAcentral.